RNAcentral lists this ribosomal RNA (604 nucleotides) under uncultured Gammaproteobacteria bacterium. RNAcentral describes it as "bacterial SSU rRNA". It matches the Rfam family "Bacterial small subunit ribosomal RNA", at positions 55 to 648 of the family's 1533-position model. Lineage: Bacteria; Pseudomonadati; Pseudomonadota; Gammaproteobacteria. The record is from RNAcentral.
AGGCAAGUCGAACGGUAGCACAGAGAAGCUUGCUCCUCGGGUGACGAGUGGCGGACGGGUGAGUAAUGUCUGGGAAACUGCCUGAUGGAGGGGGAUAACUACUGGAAACGGUAGCUAAUACCGCAUAACGUCGCAAGACCAAAGAGGGGGACCUUCGGGCCUCUUGCCAUCAGAUGUGCCCAGAUGGGAUUAGCUAGUAGGUGGGGUAACGGCUCACCUAGGCGACGAUCCCUAGCUGGUCUGAGAGGAUGACCAGCCACACUGGAACUGAGACACGGUCCAGACUCCUACGGGAGGCAGCAGUGGGGAAUAUUGCACAAUGGGCGCAAGCCUGAUGCAGCCAUGCCGCGUGUAUGAAGAAGGCCUUCGGGUUGUAAAGUACUUUCAGCGGGGAGGAAGGUGUUGUGGUUAAUAACCGCAGCAAUUGACGUUACCCGCAGAAGAAGCACCGGCUAACUCCGUGCCAGCAGCCGCGGUAAUACGGAGGGUGCAAGCGUUAAUCGGAAUUACUGGGCGUAAAGCGCACGCAGGCGGUCUGUCAAGUCGGAUGUGAAAUCCCCGGGCUCAACCUGGGAACUGCAUUCGAAACUGGCAGGCUAGAGUC